AAUAGAGUUUAAAAUUAUUUUAUAUAAAAAGUUUUAUUAUAUAAAUAUAACCUUAUUUAAAACUAACUUAUAUAAAUAUUUUUAAUUUAUAAUCAAUAUUAAAACUUUUCAUCUUAAAUAUUUGUAGAUUAAUUGUUUUAAUUCUAAAUCUCAUAUAUUAUUAUCAUUAUUAACAAAUUUUAAAUUUUUGUCUGGCGGUGACAACCCGAGACAACGCCUUUAUACUCCACAAGUUAGAAGUGGUAUGGCGAGCACUUCUCGUGGUGCUUCAACAUCCUCCCUAGAGAAAGACUCAGUUCUGGUUGUUCCUGCUCCAGGGCUCCACAUAAGCAGCCAUUUAUCCUGACUGUUGAACAAUUAGUUCAACAACCAGGUUGAGAGUAUCUCCCUCGACUCCAUCCUCACCCAGACCGAUAUCCUAUAUGGUUCAACAAGUCCAGCCUCAGCAUUAGCACCAGAAUUAACAAGAUGAUGUAUUCCAUGCUCAGACACGGAUAUCCAACCUACAGCAAGCUCCCGGACUCCCACCGUGAGUUGUGGUUUCUUCAAUUGGCGCAGGGAUUCAAUUGGGAGUCUAGGCAUAUGGAAAAAGUCCAUAUAGCCUUCCACCAAAAGAUCAUGACUAUUUAUGGGAAGCAUUUCUAUGAGUGGAAGCAGCUGUGGAAGAAGGGCAAGACACUGAAAUCUAUUAACACGACAAUCUGGCUCGAGUUGCUGGAGAAUUGGUCUAAACCGGAGUCUAAAGACAAGUCAGUCACCAACUCCGAGAACCGCCAACGCAACCGUGGCGGGAAAAGUUAUGUCCACAACUUGUGUGCCUGCAGUAUAUCUUCUCUCGAAGAUAAACUUCAAAUGAAGGUAAUCUCGCCGAUUAUCUUGAUAUAAUUAAGGGAGCGUACACCAACAAAAAGACGGACCAAAAUUCAAGAUCCCAUUAUGAAGGAUGUCAUAUAGUUGGCGAAAACCCUGGUGGAAGAAAGUUCGUGCUUCCUAUAUCAAAUAAACGAAAUGGUGGAAGAGGCUAUUCCAUAAAAAAGGUCGUCGAGCUUCAUCUUGUCCUUCCUCACAAGCGCGAUAUGCCGCUGGCUAUGGAGGAAUUAAAUAAUAAAGAUGAGCGGAUUGAAGCUUUGGAGACUCAAAAUGCUACAAUUCUUGCAGAAAUGGCGGAACGGAAAGCAGCAACAGCAAAACAAUGAGUGGUUGUGGACGCAACUCAGAGGAUGAACCAUAAGCUAAUAUAAUUUCAGAUUUUAAAUUUAUU
Raphanus sativus (radish) is the source of this 1261-nucleotide long non-coding RNA. RefSeq lists it as uncharacterized. NCBI's taxonomy places the organism in Eukaryota, Viridiplantae, Streptophyta, Magnoliopsida, Brassicales, Brassicaceae. The transcript has 5 exons. The record is from RefSeq and is a predicted model, not a curated record.